GGGGCUGGGGCUCAGUGGUGGAGCGCUCACCUAGAGUGUGUGAGGCCCUGGGUUCGAGCCUCAGCACCA
RNAcentral lists this transfer RNA (69 nucleotides) under Ictidomys tridecemlineatus (thirteen-lined ground squirrel). Its description in RNAcentral is "Spermophilus tridecemlineatus (thirteen-lined ground squirrel) tRNA". It matches the Rfam family "tRNA". From Rfam's summary of the family: Transfer RNA (tRNA) molecules are approximately 80 nucleotides in length. Their secondary structure includes four short double-helical elements and three loops (D, anti-codon, and T loops). Lineage: Eukaryota; Metazoa; Chordata; Mammalia; Rodentia; Sciuridae. The record is from Rfam by way of RNAcentral.